This 253-nucleotide ribosomal RNA is filed under the name uncultured bacterium. RNAcentral's name for it is "partial 16S ribosomal RNA". It matches the Rfam family "Bacterial small subunit ribosomal RNA", at positions 524 to 776 of the family's 1533-position model. The record is from RNAcentral.
UACGUAGGUGACAAGCGUUGUCCGGAUUUACUGGGCGUAAAGAGCGCGCAGGCGGUCGAUCAAGUCGAGUGUGAAAGCCCCCGGCUCAACUGGGGAGGGUCAUUCGAUACUGAUCGACUCGAAGGCAGGAGAGGGUAGUGGAAUUCCCGGUGUAGUGGUGAAAUGCGUAGAUAUCGGGAGGAACACCAGUGGCGAAGGCGACUACCUGGCCUGUUCUUGACGCUGAGGCGCGAAACCUAGGGGAGCAAACGGG